RNAcentral lists this ribosomal RNA (468 nucleotides) under uncultured bacterium. Its description in RNAcentral is "partial 16S ribosomal RNA". It matches the Rfam family "Bacterial small subunit ribosomal RNA", at positions 28 to 507 of the family's 1533-position model. The record is from RNAcentral.
GACGAACGCUGGCGGCGUGCUUAACACAUGCAAGUCGAACGGAAAGACCCUGCUUUUGUGGGGUGCUCGAGUGGCGAACGGGUGAGUAACACGUGAGUAACCUGCCCUUGACUUUGGGAUAACUUCAGGAAACUGGGGCUAAUACCGGAUAGGAGCUCCUGCUGCAUGGUGGGGGUUGGAACGUUUCGGCGGUUGGGGAUGGACUCGCGGCUUAUCAGCUUGUUGGUGGGGUAGUGGCUUACCAAGGCUUUGACGGGUAGCCGGCCUGAGAGGGUGACCGGCCACGUUGGGACUGAGAUACGGCCCAGACUCCUACGGGAGGCAGCAGUGGGGAAUAUUGCACAAUGGGCGGAAGCCUGAUGCAGCAACGCCGCGUGCGGGAUGACGGCCUUCGGGUUGUAAACCGCAUUCGCCUGUGACGAAGCGUGAGUGACGGUAAUGGGUAAAGAAGCACCGGCUAACUACGUG